This 269-nucleotide ribosomal RNA is filed under the name uncultured bacterium. RNAcentral's name for it is "partial 16S ribosomal RNA". It matches the Rfam family "Bacterial small subunit ribosomal RNA", at positions 21 to 319 of the family's 1533-position model. The record is from RNAcentral.
GGCUCAGAACGAAGGCUGGCGGCGUGCUUAACACAUGCAAGUCGAACGAACCUUCGGGUUAGUGGCGGACGGGUGAGUAACGCGCGAGAAUCUGCCCUCAGGAGGGGGAUAACGGUUGGAAACGACCGCUAAUACCCCAUAUGCCGAGAGGUGAAAAGAAAUUCGCCUGAGGAUGAGCUCGCGUCUGAUUAGCUAGUUGGUGUGGUAAUGGCGCAGCGCAAGGCUUCGAUCAGUAGCUGGUCUGAGAGGAUGAUCAGCCACACUGGGUC